RNAcentral lists this ribosomal RNA (468 nucleotides) under uncultured bacterium. Its description in RNAcentral is "partial 16S ribosomal RNA". It matches the Rfam family "Bacterial small subunit ribosomal RNA", at positions 28 to 507 of the family's 1533-position model. The record is from RNAcentral.
GACGAACGCUGGCGGCGUGCUUAACACAUGCAAGUCGAACGGAAAGGCCCUGCUUUUGUGGGGUGCUCGAGUGGCGAACGGGUGAGUAACACGUGAGUAACCUGCCCUUGACUUUGGGAUAACUUCAGGAAACUGGGGCUAAUACCGGAUAGGAGCUCCUGCUGCAUGGUGGGGGUUGGAAAGUUUCGGCGGUUGGGGAUGGACUCGCGGCUUAUCAGCUUGUUGGUGGGGUAGUGGCUUACCAAGGCUUUGACGGGUAGCCGGCCUGAGAGGGUGACCGGCCACAUUGGGACUGAGAUACGGCCCAGACGCCUACGGGAGGCAGCAGUGGGGAAUAUGGCACAAUGGGCGGAAGCCUGAUGCAGCAACGCCGCGUGCGGGAUGACGGCCUUCGGGUUGUAAACCGCUUUCGCCGGUGACGAAGCGUGAGUGACGGUAAUGGGUAAAGAAGCACCGGCUAACUACGUG